Molecule: unclassified non-coding RNA, 520 nt
Filed under: uncultured Entrophospora
Lineage: Eukaryota; Fungi; Glomeromycota; Glomeromycetes; Entrophosporales; Entrophosporaceae
Description: SSU rRNA
Rfam family: Eukaryotic small subunit ribosomal RNA
Source: RNAcentral
AGCAGCCGCGGUAAUUCCAGCUCCAAUAGCGUAUAUUAAAGUUGUUGCAGUUAAAAGCUCGUAGUUGAAUUUCGGGAUUGACGUGAUGGUCAUGCCUUAAGGGGUAUGAACUGUUACUGUUGAUUUCUCACCUUCUGGAGAAACUUGAUGUCCUUUAUUGGGUGUCUUGCGGAUCCAGGACCUUUACCUUGAAAAAUUAGAGUGUUUAAAGCAGGCAUUUUUGCUCGAAUACAUUAGCAUGGAAUAAUAGAAUAGGACGGCAUGGUUCUAUUUUGUUGGUUUCUAGGAUCACCGUAAUGAUUAAUAGGGAUAGUUGGGGGCAUUAGUAUUCAAUUGUCAGAAGUGAAAUUCUUGGAUUUAUUGAAGACUAACUACUGCGAAAGCAUUUGCCAAGGAUGUUUUCAUUAAUCAAGAACGAAAGUUAGGGGAUCGAAGACGAUCAGAUACCGUCGUAGUCUUAACCAUAAACUAUGCCGACUAGGAAUCAGACGAUGUUAAUUUUUAAUGACUUCGUUGGUCC